Molecule: ribosomal RNA, 323 nt
Filed under: uncultured euryarchaeote
Lineage: Archaea; Methanobacteriati; Methanobacteriota
Description: bacterial SSU rRNA
Rfam family: Archaeal small subunit ribosomal RNA
Source: RNAcentral
CGCGAAACCUUUACAAUGCACGAAAGUGUGAUAAAGGGCAACACCUAGGGUGACGUUAUCCAAAAGAUAGGCUUUUUAGUAUGUAAUGUAUACUAAGAAUAAGUGAUGGGCAAGACCGGUGCCAGCAGCCGCGGUAAUACCGGCGUCACAAGUGGAGAUCACGAUUACUGGGUCUAAAGUGUUCGUAGCUGGUCAUAUAAGUCUCUUGUGAAAGUUCUGUAGCUUAACUCAGAAUUGCAAGAGAUACUGUAUGACUUGAGACCGGAAGAGGUGUAAAGUAUGGAUUGGGUAGCGGUAAAAUGCUAUAAUCCUUUUCAGACUAA